Molecule: ribosomal RNA, 863 nt
Filed under: uncultured organism
Description: bacterial SSU rRNA
Rfam family: Bacterial small subunit ribosomal RNA
Source: RNAcentral
GAAUGGUAAGUCAGCGGUGAAAUACUGCAGCUCAACUGAAGAACUGCCGUUGAUACUGUCAUUCUUGAGUAUAGAUGAGGUAGGCGGAAUGAGUAGUGUAGCGGUGAAAUGCAUAGAUAUUACUCAGAACACCAAUUGCGAAGGCAGCUUACUAAACUAUAACUGACGCUGAAGCACGAAAGCGUGGGUAUCAAACAGGAUUAGAUACCCUGGUAGUCCACGCCGUAAACGAUGAUUACUGGUUGUUUGCGAUACACAGUAAGCGACUGAGCGAAAGCAUUAAGUAAUCCACCUGGGGAGUACGUUGGCAACAAUGAAACUCAAAGGAAUUGACGGGGGCCCGCACAAGCGGUGGAACAUGUGGUUUAAUUCGAUGAUACGCGAGGAACCUUACCUGGGCUUAAAUGGGGAGUGACAGGGGUAGAAAUACCCUUUUCUUCGGACACUCUUCAAGGUGCUGCAUGGUUGUCGUCAGCUCGUGCCGUGAGGUGUCGGGUUAAGUCCCAUAACGAGCGCAACCCCUGUUGUCAGUUACCAGCACGUAAAGGUGGGGACUCUGGCAAGACUGCCGGUGUAAACCGCGAGGAAGGUGGGGAUGACGUCAAAUCAGCACGGCCCUUACGUCCAGGGCUACACACGUGUUACAAUGGCCAGUACAAAGGGCAGCUACACAGCAAUGUGAUACUAAUCUCGAAAACUGGUCCCAGUUCGGAUUGGAGUCUGCAACCCGACUUCAUGAAGCUGGAAUCGCUAGUAAUCGCGCAUCAGCCAUGGCGCGGUGAAUACGUUCCCGGGCAUGUACACACCGCCCGUCAAGCCAUGGAAGCCGGGCGUACAUGAAGUACGUAACCGCAAGGAGCGUC